This 919-nucleotide ribosomal RNA is filed under the name uncultured bacterium. Its description in RNAcentral is "bacterial SSU rRNA". It matches the Rfam family "Bacterial small subunit ribosomal RNA", at positions 8 to 924 of the family's 1533-position model. The record is from RNAcentral.
AGAGUUUGAUCCUGGCUCAGGAUGAACGCUAGCGGCAGGCUUAAUACAUGCAAGUCGAGGGGCAGCAUGAACUAGCAAUAGUUUGAUGGCGACCGGCAAACGGGUGCGGAACACGUACACAACCUUCCUUUAAGUGGGGAAUAGCCCAGAGAAAUUUGGAUUAAUACCCCGUAACACAACGAAGUGGCAUCACUUUGUUGUUAUAGUUUCGGCGCUUAAUGAUGGGUGUGCGUAUGAUUAGAUAGUUGGCGAGGUAACGGCUCACCAAGUCUACGAUCAUUAGCUGAUGUGAGAGCAUGAUCAGCCACACGGGCACUGAGACACGGGCCCGACUCCUACGGGAGGCAGCAGUAAGGAAUAUUGGUCAAUGGACGCAAGUCUGAACCAGCCAUGCCGCGUGAAGGAUUAAGGUCCUCUGGAUUGUAAACUUCUUUUAUAUGGGACGAAAAAAGGUCUUUCUAGACCCCUUGACGGUACCAUAUGAAUAAGCACCGGCUAACUCCGUGCCAGCAGCCGCGGUAAUACGGAGGGUGCAAGCGUUAUCCGGAUUCACUGGGUUUAAAGGGUGCGUAGGCGGGUAGGUAAGUCAGUGGUGAAAUCCUGGAGCUCAACUCCAGAACUGCCAUUGAUACUAUCUAUCUUGAAUAUUGUGGAGGUAAGCGAAAUAUGUCAUGUAGCGGUGAAAUGCUUAGAUAUGACAUAGAACACCCAUUGCGAAGGCAGCUUACUACGCAUAUAUUGACGCUGAGGCACGAAAGCGUGGGGAUCAAACAGGAUUAGAUACCCUGGUAGUCCACGCCCUAAACUAUGGAUACUCGACAUAUGCGAUACACUGUAUGUGUCUGAGCGAAAGCAUUAAGUAUCCCACCUGGAAGUACGUUCGCAAGAAUGAAACUCAAAGGAAUUGGCGGGGGUCCGC